RNAcentral lists this ribosomal RNA (558 nucleotides) under Fusarium sp. IP-75. RNAcentral's name for it is "eukaryotic LSU rRNA". The stretch from base 184 to 337 matches the Rfam family "5.8S ribosomal RNA". The record is from RNAcentral. Lineage: Eukaryota; Fungi; Ascomycota; Sordariomycetes; Hypocreales; Nectriaceae.
GGUGUCAGCGGAAGGGACAUUACCGAGUUUACAACUCCCAAACCCCUGUGAACAUACCUAUAAUUUGCCUCGGCAGACUCAACGACGGUGCUCCGAGAAAUCGGGCGCCGCUCGCUGCCAGAGGAACCCCAAACUCUAUGUAUUCUUGUGGAUCUUCUGAGUAAAACAAAACAAAUAAAUCAAAACUUUCAACAACGGAUCUCUUGGUUCUGGCAUCGAUGAAGAACGCAGCGAAAUGCGAUAAGUAAUGUGAAUUGCAGAAUUCAGUGAAUCAUCGAAUCUUUGAACGCACAUUGCGCCCGCCAGUAUUCUGGCGGGCAUGCCUGUUCGAGCGUCAUUUCAACCCUCAAGCCCUAGGGCUUGGUGUUGGGGAUCGGCGAUAGUCGCCGUCCCCCAAAUCUAGUGGCGGUCUCGCUGUAGCCUCCAUUGCGUAGUAGCUAACACCUCGCAACUGGAACGCGGCGCGGCCAAGCCGUUAAACCCCCAACUUCUGAAUGUUGACCUCGGAUCAGGUAGGAAUACCCGCUGAACUUAAGCAUAUCAAUAAGCGGAGGAACU